RNAcentral lists this ribosomal RNA (279 nucleotides) under uncultured bacterium. RNAcentral's name for it is "partial 16S ribosomal RNA". It matches the Rfam family "Bacterial small subunit ribosomal RNA", at positions 506 to 784 of the family's 1533-position model. The record is from RNAcentral.
UGCCAGCAGCCGCGGUAAUACGGAGGGUGCAAGCGUUGUUCGGAUUUAUUGGGCGUAAAGCGCGCGCAGGCGGACUUAUAAGCCAGAUGUGAAAUCUCGGGGCUCGACCCCGAAACUGCGUCUGGAACUGUGAGUCUAGAAUGUCAUAGGGGGUAGGGGAAUUUCACGUGUAGGGGUAAAAUCCGUAGAGAUGUGAAGGAACACCAGUGGCGAAGGCGCCUACCUGGAUGAAUAUUGACGCUGAGAUGCGAAGGCAUGGGUAGCAAACGGGAUUAGAUA